UAAUAACUAGUUUAAAGGAACAAUGUAAUUUGACUACAAAAGAGAUAGUGCAACUCUAUCGUUAUUAA
RNAcentral lists this transfer RNA (68 nucleotides) under Chthamalus malayensis. RNAcentral's name for it is "tRNA-Gln". The record is from RNAcentral. Lineage: Eukaryota; Metazoa; Arthropoda; Thecostraca; Balanomorpha; Chthamalidae.